Molecule: ribosomal RNA, 253 nt
Filed under: uncultured bacterium
Lineage: Bacteria
Description: partial 16S ribosomal RNA
Rfam family: Bacterial small subunit ribosomal RNA
Source: RNAcentral
UACAGAGGUCCCAAGCGUUGUUCGGAUUCAUUGGGCGUAAAGGGUGCGUAGGCGGCGCGGUAAGUCGGGUGUGAAAUCUCGGGGCUUAACUCCGAAACUGCAUUCGAUACUGCCGUGCUUGAGGACUGGAGAGGAGACUGGAAUUUACGGUGUAGCGGUGAAAUGCGCAGAUAUCAGGAGGAACACCGGUGGCGAAGGCGGGUCUCUGGGCCGAUACUGACGCUGAGGAGCGAAAGCGUGGGGAGCGAACAGG